Molecule: transfer RNA, 74 nt
Filed under: Candidatus Beckwithbacteria bacterium CG23_combo_of_CG06-09_8_20_14_all_34_8
Lineage: Bacteria; Candidatus Beckwithiibacteriota
Description: tRNA-Ile
Rfam family: tRNA
About the family: Transfer RNA (tRNA) molecules are approximately 80 nucleotides in length. Their secondary structure includes four short double-helical elements and three loops (D, anti-codon, and T loops). Further hydrogen bonds mediate the characteristic L-shaped molecular structure. tRNAs have two regions of fundamental functional importance: the anti-codon, which is responsible for specific mRNA codon recognition, and the 3' end, to which the tRNAs corresponding amino acid is attached (by aminoacyl-tRNA synthetases). tRNAs cope with the degeneracy of the genetic code in two manners: having more than one tRNA (with a specific anti-codon) for a particular amino acid; and 'wobble' base-pairing, i.e. permitting non-standard base-pairing at the 3rd anti-codon position.
Source: RNAcentral
GCGCUCAUAGCUCAGCUGGUUAGAGCACGAAGCUUAUACCUUCGGGGUCCUAGGUUCGAAUCCUAGUGAGCGCA